GUUGUAUGGUUAAGUGACUAAGCGUACACGGUGGAUGCCUGGGCAGUCAGAGGCGAUGAAGGACGUACUAACUUGCGAUAAGCGCAGAUAAGGCAGUAAGAGCCGUUUGAGUCUGCGAUUUCCGAAUGGGGAAACCCAACUGCAUAAGCAGUUACUGUUAACUGAAUACAUAGGUUAACAGAGCAAACCGGGGGAACUGAAACAUCUAAGUACCCCGAGGAGAAGAAAUCAACCGAGAUUCCGGUAGUAGCGGCGAGCGAACCUGGAUUAGCCCUUAAGCACUCGGUGAAGUAGGUGAACAAGCUGGAAAGCUUGGCGAUACAGGGUGAUAGCCCCGUAACCGACGCUUCAUCGAGCGUGAAAUCGAGUAGGGCGGGACACGUGAUAUCCUGUCUGAAUAUGGGGGGACCAUCCUCCAAGGCUAAAUACUCCUGACUGACCGAUAGUGAACCAGUACCGUGAGGGAAAGGCGAAAAGAACCCCUGUGAGGGGAGUGAAAUAGAACCUGAAACCGUGUACGUACAAGCAGUAGGAGCACCUUCGUGGUGUGACUGCGUACCUUUUGUAUAAUGGGUCAGCGACUUAUAUUCAGUGGCAAGGUUAACCGUAUAGGGGAGCCGUAGCGAAAGCGAGUCUUAACUGGGCGCUCAGUCUCUGGAUAUAGACCCGAAACCGGGUGAUCUAGCCAUGGGCAGGUUGAAGGUUGAGUAACAUCAACUGGAGGACCGAACCGACUAAUGUUGAAAAAUUAGCGGAUGACUUGUGGCUAGGGGUGAAAGGCCAAUCAAACUCGGAGAUAGCUGGUUCUCCCCGAAAGCUAUUUAGGUAGCGCCUCGGACGAAUACUACUGGGGGUAGAGCACUGUUAAGGCUAGGGGGUCAUCCCGACUUACCAACCCUUUGCAAACUCCGAAUACCAGUAAGUACUAUCCGGGAGACACACGGCGGGUGCUAACGUCCGUCGUGGAGAGGGAAACAACCCAGACCGCCAGCUAAGGUCCCAAAGUAUUGCUAAGUGGGAAACGAUGUGGGAAGGCUCAGACAGCUAGGAUGUUGGCUUAGAAGCAGCCAUCAUUUAAAGAAAGCGUAAUAGCUCACUAGUCGAGUCGGCCUGCGCGGAAGAUGUAACGGGGCUAAGCAAUACACCGAAGCUGCGGCAAUAUCUUUUAGAUAUUGGGUAGGGGAGCGUUCUGUAAGCCGUUGAAGGUGAAUCGUAAGGUUUGCUGGAGGUAUCAGAAGUGCGAAUGCUGACAUGAGUAACGACAAAGGGGGUGAAAAACCUCCUCGCCGGAAGACCAAGGGUUCCUGUCCAACGUUAAUCGGGGCAGGGUGAGUCGACCCCUAAGGUGAGGCCGAAAGGCGUAAUCGAUGGGAAACGGGUUAAUAUUCCCGUACUUCUGACUAUUGCGAUGGGGGGACGGAGAAGGCUAGGUGGGCCAGGCGACGGUUGUCCUGGUUCAAGUGCGUAGGCUUGAGAGUUAGGUAAAUCCGGCUCUCUCUAAGGCUGAGACACGACGUCGAGCUGCUACGGCAGUGAAGUCAUUGAUGCCAUGCUUCCAGGAAAAGCCUCUAAGCUUCAGAUAGUCAGGAAUCGUACCCCAAACCGACACAGGUGGUCGGGUAGAGAAUACCAAGGCGCUUGAGAGAACUCGGGUGAAGGAACUAGGCAAAAUGGUACCGUAACUUCGGGAGAAGGUACGCUCUUGAUGGUGAAGUCCCUCGCGGAUGGAGCUGACGAGAGUCGCAGAUACCAGGUGGCUGCAACUGUUUAUUAAAAACACAGCACUGUGCAAAAUCGCAAGAUGACGUAUACGGUGUGACGCCUGCCCGGUGCCGGAAGGUUAAUUGAUGGGGUUAGCGCAAGCGAAGCUCUUGAUCGAAGCCCCGGUAAACGGCGGCCGUAACUAUAACGGUCCUAAGGUAGCGAAAUUCCUUGUCGGGUAAGUUCCGACCUGCACGAAUGGCGUAAUGAUGGCCACGCUGUCUCCACCCGAGACUCAGUGAAAUUGAAA
RNAcentral lists this ribosomal RNA (2011 nucleotides) under Vibrio cholerae. RNAcentral describes it as "partial 23S ribosomal RNA". It matches the Rfam family "Bacterial large subunit ribosomal RNA", at positions 1 to 2047 of the family's 2925-position model. Lineage: Bacteria; Pseudomonadati; Pseudomonadota; Gammaproteobacteria; Vibrionales; Vibrionaceae. The record is from RNAcentral.